AAAACACAGGGACACUUUUGAAGGGUUCAGCCGGGCGAUGGUUGCCCCGGUCGUAAGGGACUGCAAAUGAGCGGGAAGUGAAUUUGGAAGAAGGCGAGAAAAGCUGUGUGAAUAGAAGAUAGAGCCCGUACCGCAAACCGACACAGGUAGAUAGGAAGAAGAUUCUAAGGCCAACGGGAGAAGGGUUGUUAAGGAACUCGGCAAGUUGACCCCGUAACUUAGGGAGAAGGGGUGCUCUUUAAGGAGAGCCGCAGAGAAUAGGCCCAAGCGACUGUUUAGCAAAAACACAGCUCUAUGCUAAAUCGAAAGAUGACGUAUAUGGGGUGACACCUGCCCGGUGCCGGAAGGUUAAGAGGAGGAGUGAGAGCUCUGAAUUGAAGCCCCGGUAAACGGCGGCCGUAACUAUAACGGUCCUAAGGUAGCGAAAUUCCUUGUCAGGUAAGUUCUGACCCGCACGAAUGGUGUAACGAUUUGGGCACUGUCUCAACAACCUGCCCGGCGAAAUUGUAGUACCGGUGAAGAUGCCGGUUACCCGCGACUAGACGGAAAGACCCCAUGGAGCUUUACUGCAGCUUAAUAUUGAAUUUCGGUAUUUCAUGUACAGGAUAGGUGGGAGACAGGGAACCAUAGGCGUCAGCUUAUGGGGAGUCGACCUUGGGAUACCACUCUUGAGGUGCUGGAAUUCUAACCUGUGGCUCUGAAUCGAGUCAGGGGACAUUGUUAGGCGGGCAGUUUGACUGGGGCGGUCGCCUCCAAAAAGGUAACGGAGGCGCUCAAAGGUUCGCUCAGCAUGGAUGGAAACCAUGCUUUUGAGAGUAAACGCAAAAGCGAGCCUAACUGCGAGACUGACGGGUCGAGCAGUAACGAAAGUUGGAGUUAGUGAUCCGGCGGUAUGUGAGUGGAAAUGCCGUCGCUCAACGGAUAAAAGCUACCCUGGGGAUAACAGGCUGAUCUCCCCCAAGAGUCCACAUCGACGGGGAGGUUUGGCACCUCGAUGUCGGCUCAUCGCAUCCUGGGGCUGAAUUCGGUCCCAAGGGUUUGGCUGUUCGCCAAUUAAAGCGGUACGCGAGCUGGGUUCAGAACGUCGAGAGACAGUUCGGUCCCUAUCUGUCGUGGGCGUAGGAUAUUUGAAAGGAGCUGUCCCUAGUACGAGAGGACCGGGAUGGACGCACCGCUGGUGCACCAGUUGUCAUGCCAAUGGCACAGCUGGGCAGCUAUGUGCGGAACGGAUAAACGCUGAAGGCAUCUAAGCGUGAAGCCGACCUUAAGAUAAGAUAUCCCUUCGUAAGAGUAAGACCUCUCAUAGACUAUGAGUUUGAUAGGCCUAAGGUGUAAGCACAGUGAUGUGUUCAGCCUGCAGGUACUAAUCGGUCGAGGGCUUUUCCG
Molecule: ribosomal RNA, 1386 nt
Filed under: metagenome
Description: bacterial LSU rRNA
Rfam family: Bacterial large subunit ribosomal RNA
Source: RNAcentral